CAGCCGCCACGGUAAUACGGAGGGAGCUAGCGUUGUUCGGAAUUACUGGGCGUAAAGCGCACGUAGGCGGCUAUUCAAGUCAGAGGUGAAAGCCCGGGGCUCAACCCCGGAACUGCCUUUGAAACUAGAUAGCUUGAAUCCAGGAGAGGUGAGUGGAAUUCCGAGUGUAGAGGUGAAAUUCGUAGAUAUUCGGAAGAACACCAGUGGCGAAGGCGGCUCACUGGACUGGUAUUGACGCUGAGGUGCGAAAGCGUGGGGAGCAAACAGGAUUAGAUACCCCGGUAGUCCCUGUCUCUUAUAC
Molecule: ribosomal RNA, 301 nt
Filed under: uncultured bacterium
Lineage: Bacteria
Description: partial 16S ribosomal RNA
Rfam family: Bacterial small subunit ribosomal RNA
Source: RNAcentral